Molecule: unclassified non-coding RNA, 754 nt
Filed under: Hevea brasiliensis (rubber tree)
Lineage: Eukaryota; Viridiplantae; Streptophyta; Magnoliopsida; Malpighiales; Euphorbiaceae
Source: RNAcentral
CUGUGGCACUAUUUUCGCUUGCUUCUUGGUGCGUCUAUAAACAUAAUCCCCCAGCUUGUCAGCGUCCAUGGUUCCCGUCACUGUUGCUUUUCCUGUGCUUAACUCCGUUGAAGCUGUUUGCACUCCUAUAAUACAUAGUAAAAGCUUUUCACCUUAAUCAUGACUAUUAAUUAAAUUUAUUUAACUUCCAUGGCAUUAUUUAAGGGCUAUAAAAAUAAGCAGUCCACUAUUGAGUUAACACAACACAUCAUAUGGAGGAUGAAGGCCACUUUCAUUUGCCAUGGAAAAAGUUAGCACUAACGAUUGAUAGACGUGUACAAUUAGAAAUGUGAUCCACCCAACCCUCCUUUUGGGUCAUUUAGAAAUGCGACCUUUGUGCAAAUUUCCUUUAUCCCUUUUCAGAAACAUAGUCCUUUUUCAUUGUCCAUUUGGAUCAGGUAGAUCAGGUCGCUCCAAUGAGAACCUGUACAUGCAUCCAAAUAACUGCAAUAAAUGCCACCUAAAUAGAAAGCAGGGCCCAACUUAGCUAGUGUGGCAACAUCUGAGUAGGCACGGUUUCCCAGGAAUGUUGGAUUCUUUAUUUUUAUGUCACCUUUCUUGCAGUUGGUCAGUCACACUCAACUUGUUGAGUUGGUUGUUUUCUAACAUUUUCUACUUUUUUCACAUAGGAGUACAACUAAUUAAUAACAAUAAAGAGAUUACAAGAAAUAAACCCUAAAAACGAACAAAGAAGCUUAAUUACCUCUCAUUUUGA